UGAGCCAUUUCCUGCCUGGCUCACACAAACAAGUAACUCAUGAAAACAAGGAACUUAAAACAAGGAACUCAUGAAAACAAUUAACUGACAAAAACAAAGAACUUGUAAACAAGGUGCUUUUCCACUGUGCUUCUGGAUUUUUUUCUAUGCCUUUCAGCUAAGGCCUUUGCCUGUUUCUUAGUAAUAUUGACAGCCCAGUUGUCAUCAAGUGGAGUUCCCACUGAGAAGGGAGUCCCUAAAGGAUCGCCCCUGAAGGCUGGCCAGCAGAUUUCUCCAGCCUUUCAGUAGACCUGAGAGGCUCUACGCAGCAGCAGACUGAAAGAUGCGGAUACCCAUAGCCAACAUUGAACAGAGGUUGGGGACACUUAUGGAAGAGUU
Mastomys coucha (southern multimammate mouse) is the source of this 378-nucleotide long non-coding RNA. RefSeq lists it as uncharacterized. The record is from RefSeq and is a predicted model, not a curated record. NCBI's taxonomy places the organism in Eukaryota, Metazoa, Chordata, Mammalia, Rodentia, Muridae. The transcript has 3 exons.